This is a long non-coding RNA of Anas platyrhynchos (mallard), 3204 nucleotides long. RefSeq lists it as uncharacterized. The record is from RefSeq and is a predicted model, not a curated record. NCBI's taxonomy places the organism in Eukaryota, Metazoa, Chordata, Aves, Anseriformes, Anatidae.
UAUUUGUGCUUUCUGAUGCUGUUAAGGGGUCACCUUCCUGUCCUGUGGCACAGUUUUGAUAAGUGUAAUACUACCCUACAGAUCAUACUGCUUCUGAGGGACUGCCACUGGGUGCUACCUCAGCCUGCAGCCUCUCCCACACAACACAGUUGCCGCCAUUUUGUGAGAAGAAUGAGGAACGUUCCUUUGAGGAAAGGCCUCACUCCAGGAGAAUUUCUGGUUUUCUUUCUAAAGAAAGCCUGACAGAGAUGCUUAGAAAGUGCUUUCACCUAUGCCAUCUGUGAUGUUUUUAUUUCCUGAUGACCUUUUCAACAGUUUGUUGUUCUCAUUCUUCUGUCCAUGCGAGAAAGAUGGAAUUCUCCAAGGAAAGCUACUUGAACAUAUGGCAAGGUUUCCAACACAGACUGGAUGGGCUGCUUUGUGCUGCCUGAAUUCUGUCAUGGCUCAGAGUUUUCAUAUGUGGAUGAGGGUACACAAGGUAACCAUGAUAUAAUUUACACAUUCUCUCUAGCCAUCUAAAUGGCUCCAUAGCAUUAUUUAUACGAAGUGGAGACCUGUGACUUCAUUGGAAAACAAGCAUACGGAUAACAAGACAUCCUUCUUUGUACGUGGGACAGAGGGAUGGCUGACCCAGUAAUUAAACGAAUAAAUUCUGAGGAUUAAUAUAUUGAGGAAAUCUGAUUUCUUGGAAUAAUUCAGGAAGCUCAUAUGCCUAUGGACUCCAAAAGUUUUGGAAUCUGUUCCUUCAGCCAAAGGCUGUGAAAACGUUCCCAGGCAAUGUAGAAAUUUUUGCAUGGAAAGAUUUCUGAGGUGUCUCAUCAUCCAUUAAAAACAAAUGAAACAGGAAUAUUCAUAGAGGCUAUUUUAUAAAUAAAAAGCCUCCAGUUCAUCAGAAAUCCAUGGGAUCCACCUCACACAGGCAUGCCAUUUUACCUUUAUGAGAAACAUCCUUUCUCCACAGAUAUUAAUCAUACUGACUUACAUUUUUGGUGUGUUAAAUUCAGCCCAUAACAUCACCAAUAAAUUUAGUCCUUAGAGGUUAUAUUAACAGACUACUGGCCUUAUCAUUCUGAUUACAAUGUUCUAGCUAGAGCUAGUUUGAACAUUUUCCCUUUAUAUGUUUUCAGUCGAAAAUGGGACUUUGGCAAAAUAAAAUUAAAAAAUAUGCAUGAAAAAGUCCAUUUUGUCAAAAUGUGAUCCAUCAGGGAAGCCGAAUGAAUUUCAAAAGCAAUAAGCUAGCUAGGUAUUUAAAGGGUUUUUUAUUAUUUAAACCUUCAGGGAUAUACAUUUUUGCACCAUUCAUUGAACUGUGGGUGCAAUUUAUUUAAUAGGCACACAUUUUACCAGGGAACUUAUGCCACCAGAAAAGGAUUUCAAGCCUCAGCCAAGUGGAAAAUAUAUCCCAAGGUGUGUGUGUUGCCUAGUAAAACUAGGAGAUUUAAAUAGUGAAGAUACAAGCUGACUGUGAAAGCACCUUCCACUAAUAUAAAACUAUGCAGUUCUAAAAUGAUGCUGACAACCCCCACAAACCUUUAAAUAGCCAUUUCCAAGCUGGCAGGUCUAAAUUGCAGGAAAACAAAGUAAUCACUCAAGGAAUUCUUUGCAAAUUAAAACAGUUCCUUCUUGUUACUUUGUGUUCUGGAGCUUCACAGACAAUAAUACAGUCUCACAAGCCAUUUUCCUAUUUGUUUUUGUAUCAAAUUAUCUUUCUCUAAAAGUAAGCACUCUGUCAAUAAUAAAAAGAAAUUGUUGGUAGAUAAUUCUAAAAACAAACAAGAAAUUCACAUUUUAAAAAGCUAGUUUAAGAAACACACUGUGCUAGUGUGUAUCUUAUUUAUAUGUAAAAUGAGAUGUUACUUGUUUAUAUUUCACUUCUGGCUCUGCUGUCAGUCUGAAUGGCACCUUCACUGGGAUGAAUUUGUGCAAAAGGCUAGUUCAAGGUUAGUGCACCACAUGAGAUAUGGAGUAUGCUUAGAAAGGGCCCAGGGUUUGUGCUGCCUCUCCACAAAGGAUGACAUAUGGAGAGCCUCUUCAAAGUGGAAGGAGAUUCCCUGGAGUGAAAGUACCCCUGCAGAAGCUUAUUCAACCUGGCAUUUAUGACAAUUUUACAAAUAGAACUAAACUGAUAUGGAUCUGCAAGAAAAUAAAUGCUUUUAAACAUUGUAAUUCAUGAUAUGAAUUAGAAGUUUGUAGAACUGCAUAUGCUACAUGAAAUUAGAUUGCAGAGUGUGUACAAAAUACAAGUGUGAAAAACCCAAGAGCUCUUCAGAUGUUCAUCUGGCAAAGAGGCUGAGCGCUGGCAUGAAAGUGCACUGUGGCAAAUGGAUGUGCCUGAAAGUAGAAGCUCUCCCUUUAUGAAGUAUCAGUGCUCUUGGACAUCACCAGUGACAUUUCCUUGGCGAAGUCGUUCAUUAUAUUGAUAGUCCUAAGGCUGGAGUGUUACAGCUACACCCAUACAGCUAUAAACCUGCUGGUGUCUUUAUUCAGGGUGGGAUGUCAUUCCUGAUAUGAAGGAAUGAAAACAUUACUCAAGUAUUAGACAAAUAUUUGAGAAUACGUACAUACUUUUUGUAACAUUUCUGCGAAGAACAGACAUUGUUCAGUGUACUGGCACUUUGCUACUGAGGUAAAAGAGGAAAUAUCUCUUCGGGGAGAGAAAAAAUGGAGCUGUGAGGUGCUGAUAGCAGAGCCUACCUGAGUGGAUAUAAGUCACUGAAAAUAAACCUAGCAGUGUGGUCUGUCUCACUGUUGUAUGGCAGGACUGAUUCUAUCUGUAGUCAUGUUACUUUUCAGAGGUCCCAGAAAAUUCUUUUUGAUACUACCAGGGCCAGCAUCCACUUGUACCUGCGGCAAAAAAGAAAAAAAAAAUCCAGAAAAGAAUCUGUUUCCACUUCUAUUCUGGAGCUGCUCACCAGUUCCAAGACUAUAGCACACCAGAUUAUCAGAUGGCUUUGUCCUCAACAUUUCAUUUUAAAGGGAAGUGACUCUCUGUGAAUAACCAUUUGGGUCUCUGGUUGCGCAUAUCAGUGCAGUCGUCAUUAGAAUGACAAAGCUAACAAAAAGCGUAUCUGCACAAAUAUUUUCUUGGGUUCCAUUAAAGAAUCAUUGUAAAGAAUCAUUGAAGAACCUGUGUAAAUCCUGAGAUUUCUGUAGUCAUAACAAUAUUAGUGAAAGCUGAAUCCUGUUAACAGUGAUAAUUUUCAA